Molecule: long non-coding RNA, 10648 nt
Organism: Peromyscus californicus insignis
Lineage: Eukaryota; Metazoa; Chordata; Mammalia; Rodentia; Cricetidae
Exons: 4
Source: RefSeq, a predicted model, not a curated record
AACAGAAAGAAAGAAGUCAUGUUGUUUGCAGGAAAAUGCAUGUAACUGGCCAUAAUCAUUUUAAGUGAACAGAUGUAGUUCUACAAAACAAAUGUUGUAUGUCUUCUGUACUAUAUGGAUCCUAGAUUUUAUAGAGAGAUGUAAAAUUGUGACUGUUGCUAUGACAUGGAAGGAGCGAACCCUCUGGGGAGAGGGGAACUAAGGGGAAAGGUGCUAUGUGAGAAAGGGAAGGGGGGCCUGGAAGGGGAUUUACACAAUGCACAACACACAUCCUUAUGCAGCGCAGCCCCAUGUGCCAUGACUAUACACAGUGGAGACUAAACACACAAACCAGUUCUCUGCUUUGCCCAUAAUCUGACUAUGUAUUAAAGACAAAGGCAAAUUUGUAUGCUAAUGAGAUGGAAGUGCUUGUUUAUUUUUACAUAAAGAAUUAAAUCUUGGCUGAAUAUUUGAUAAUGCAGACUGUAGAGUAUCUUCAACACUUUGUAGAGUUGAUCAAUAUUUUGAUUUUUAUAAUCACCAGUGCCGAGGAUGCCACUUCACAUAAACGCACAGUACAAAAUGGAAGAAAAGUGUGUUUAGGGUCAUUAUAGAAAUUGUUGGAAAUUCUGUUCAAAUUUCAAUCCAAAAGCAAUAAUAAAAAAACGAAACUCAAGACAGCAUCUCAAACAGCAAUUUUACAAUCAAACAUUCUAGCAAUGCAAUUCAAAGACACACUGAUUUGAUGGAUGCAAAGGGAUGAUGGUAGGAAAAUAUUCAGUAUUUGUUUUCAAACCAAAGAUGUAUGAAAAACCCACACAGAAGCCUACUAUUUUUCAAGUUAAUUAAAUACAAUAUAGGAAGUAAUAAUAAAAUAUAACAAUAAAACAGAGUUUGAAUUGAGGUACCCUACUGGUUGUUCAAUGUUGCUCUCAGAUGCCACAUAGUGUUAAACAAAAAACUCAGUGGGUCACAUAAAAAAAAGCCAAACCAAGCCAAGACUAGGCAGGAGGGCUUUCUGAGAGAAUGACGGGGUGCUGAGGAUCAAACCCAGGGCUUUGUGCACCCUAGGGAAGUGUUCUCCCAGCCAACACACACCCCGGCCUGGAACGAGCUUUUUGUUGUUGCUUCUUCAUACACAUCCUGCUGUUGCCAAAGUGUUCGAGACCUCCACACUCAAUUAGGGAGGGCUCAGUCUAAGAAUUUUGUUGAUACUGAACAGCUGGGCAGCUCCAAAUCAGUGGACAGAGAACCAUAUUUCAAUGUGGGAACCCCUGCUCUGAUCCAGCACGGCCUCUUGAAUACCCGUGAAUGCUCGGACACUGUGAUGGUAAAUCUUGAUAGUUAGCUUGUUAGGAUCUGGAAUCAAGAGCGUGGUAUUACUUCUGCAUGGGUCUGUGAAGUCAUUUCCAGGAGUGAUUAACUGAGGGGACCAGUCACUGGAGCGGGAGGCAUCUGAGCAAUGACCCAGGUAGAAAAGCUUCUGAGUAAAGCACAGUGCUCCACGCUGAUCUUGGUUCUUGCUGGUGACUGUGCAUCCAUCCAUGGCUGCCGCCGCCACCAUCCUUUGCUGACAUGAGAAUCCAGCUUCUUGGACUCCCAGCAUGGACUCAAGAUGGUUGCUUUCUGGGAAUCCUCCAGACCUUCAGCAUCAGAUUGAGGCUUUCGGCCUCACCAGCCUUUACCCAACAGAGUGUGUUAACCUACCCAGGGAAUCCCCUUUUAUUACAAUCUUUCUAUCAGUUCUGGUUCUCUAGAGAACCCUGGGUUAAUACAGGGACUUUCUUAACCCUACUACACCCCUGUGUUCCCAUCUAUAAAACGAGAGGACUCAUCUCUCCCUCAUAGGGCCAAGUUAGGCUCAAAAUGUCAAUGCUUUUAAACCUGAAAGGACUUUGUAAAUUGGUGGAGCAUGUGCAGCGUCCUUCUUUUGCAACAGGAGUAUUAAGCUUUGAUAUUAGCUCAGAAGGCUCUGGUGGUGCAAGCAUUGUCCCUGGCAGGCGGUAUUGAGAAGUAAUUGGAUUCUAAGGGUGUUGACUUCAUCAACUGGGUAAGGCCUUGUGUUCAUACUGAGUAGCCUGUGAGGCUGCCGGGUCCUGCUGGAGAAAGCCGGUCCCUGGAUGUGUGCCAUCACAGCUUUAAGAGUUUGGGAUGGGAAGCCAGGCUCUUGCCAUCAAAGUAUGAACUCAUGCACCAAGUCCCCACACACGCACUGUAUUUGAGAGAGAGUUUUCUCUGCUUUCAACCACUGGGGCCCAGGGAUCGAACUCACUUCAUCAGGCUUGGCAGCAGACAUUUUUACCUGCUGAACCAUCUCUCUGGAAGUAUCUGGAACAGAGAUCUACUCAGUUAUUUAUCUAUGGCAGCUUUCCCACUGCAGGAGCAGAGAGGAUUGGUGGGAGCAGAGACCACAUGUUCUGUCAAGCUGAAAUAUUUACUACCUUUACACAAAAAGUUUGUCGAGUCCUGUUUUUACUACAUGAGGCCCUUUAUUCUCAACUCCAGUAUACCAGAUGGGGCUCUGGGGCACAGAGAAGUUAAGUUGUUUGUCUGAGGUCACACAGCAGAGCUGGGACCAGCAUUCUGUCCACACCUGGUUCUGAGGCCAGACUUCAAUUGUUUUACUCCACUUUCCUCUCAGCUUGGCCCUCGGGAUCCACUUCACAAACUUAAUUCACAUUUUCUGCAGAGUGAAGAACAAAGACACUGUUUCGGCGGCAGUAUGAGCAGGUGUCACAAUAUUUUCCGUGGCAUCAGAGAUGUGUUUAGGGAGGGAAAUACAGUAGGACCAGAAUUUUCAGUAUUUCACUUUGUGGUGACCAUGUAAUGGGGACUUUGGCAGCCAGCCCCAAACAGUGGGUCUGCGGAGACUGGCUGGUGUGACAACAGCGCACAGUCCGCAUAGUCAUGUGGGUCUUGCUAUAAUGCUUGUCGCAGGGGCCAGACACGGUGGUAGAUGCCAAGUGCCGGGGACCACAUCUGACUCUGAGUAAGGCUGAUGCAAACAUUUGCUUUUUGUGUCAAUGGAUGGGAAAAUUGCCUGGCAUGGUGGUUCAUGCUUGUAAUCCCAGCAUUAGGGAGGCUGAGACAGUAGCAUUGCCAGAAGUCCCCGUCACAUGGUAAGCAGGGAAGCAUUGAAUUUGAUGCACCAUUUUCAGAAAGCCUUGCUGGACUCCUGCUUCCCCAGGGGCCGGCUGAAUACAGAACACUCCUCUAUACACUCUCUAUAAUGCUCCCAUAAACUCUCUCACUGGUUACAAAGCAGUUGUCUUUGAUGCAAAUGGCCAUAGGGCCAGUUAUGAAUGAGUGUUCAAUGAGUCUGGGGAGGUGGUUCAGUGGGCAAGAAUACUUGCUGUCCGUGUUUGAGGACUUGAGUUUUGAUCAUCAGCAAUCACAUGAAAAGUUGGGUGUGGCUGCUCACAAGCUUUAACCCCAGUGCUUUGGGGAGCAGAGCCAGGACAUCGCUGGAGGCUUGCUGCCUGUCUGGCUCCAAGUUUAGAGAGAGACAUUGUUUCCAGGGAAUAAAGCAGAGUGUAGCAGAGUAGGUCACCUGAUGUCUUCCUCUGUCCUUGCAUGAAUUGGAGUGUACAUCCACAUAUGUGUGCAUAUGCUACACACACAUAUCACAUGCACAUGGACACACAUACCAAACAAACAAAUGAAAAGUAUGUUAAAAAUGAAAAGAAAGUGGUGCAGUGAGGGGAGUGAAUCCUGGAUACUCCAGCUGUCUGUCGCAGCACAAAAGAGCAGACAGUGUGGACAAGGGGAGCCUGUUAGUUAUGUCUGUCCCCUCUUGACACCUGGACUUCGGUGCUGAUGGUGUCUCGACCUGCAUGGCACAAGAACUCUCACUGAGUCUUUCCUUUGUUUGCCUCAGGGUUCUGGUUGGAGCACAAAGGUCCUUGCACCCACAGAUCACUAGGGAAACAGGGAUGUUAAAUACACAGGGGCCUCGUCUCAGUGGAGGAGAUAACAUACCUGUUUUCCCACCCAGAAGUUUGGGAGUAGAUUUUGUUAAUGAUCUGGUGACCUUUUUGCUAUCUGUGGAGGCAGACCUCACCCAAAUUACCCAGAAUGAUUAUCCCAGACUCUUCCCUCCCUAGACCAUUACCCAUCCCUAGGGGAGAAGUCACAUGUCCUCUAUGGCCUGCUGACCUCUAUGCUAUCAGUCAGAGACCACAGUAGAUUCUAGGCCUUUCAGCUGUGGAACAUACCCUCACGGUCACACGUAUUUUGUAAAGGAGUUUCUAAGUAGUCACUUAAGCUUUGUUGUGCACCUAGAAUUGGAAAGAUUAUUGCCUGGAAACCUUUCCCCAAACUGUACCAUGUUUAAAUAUGCUGACAAUGAACCACCUGGUACUAGACUCCCUUAAGUCUGAUGCAGAUUGUCGCAGUUGAUCCGAAGCAGGUUUUCAUUCUCUUUUUGAGACUCACUGCCUGCACUGACACCUGCAGGGUCCCUGUCAGUUCUGAAGCUCAGCACUUUCAAUACUCUGGCCACUUGCUUUAGCGCAGUGGUUCUCAACCUGUGGGUCUUGACCCCCAAAGAUCAUCAGAAAACACAGAUAUUUACAUUAUGAUUCAUAGUAGUAGCAAGAUUACAGUUAUGAAGUAGCAACAGAAUUAAUCUUAUGGUUGGUGUCACCACACCAUGAGGAACUGUGUUAAAGAACUAUAGCAUUAGGACGGUCGGGAACGCUGCCCUAGUGUAUGUGGGGUGCUGGUUCCAGCCUCAGUGCCGGAGAAGGAAGAGAUGGCUACCCUGUCAUCGGCAGCACAGUGGGUAAGUCUGGAGGGCAGAGUGUUCAGUAGGAUAAGCCAAGUGUGGACAUAACUGUGACCUCAUUCACUCAUGGCCAUCCUCCUGCCUCUGCCUCUGAGAAUCACUCAUUUGUGGAAUCCAAAGCAAACAAAACACUGAAGCGGCUGUUUCCAGAAGCUGGGGAUGGUAUUAAGGAUGGAAUGGGGGGAGAAUUACAGCUAGAAGAAAUGAAUCUGAAUCUUCUGCUGCACAGAUGGGCGACUAUAGUUAACUAUUUUCUAUUACGUAUUUCCUAUAAUUAGAAGAGAGGCUUUUUCCUUUAUUUCAAUUUAUAAAAAUGUACUGCAUGUAUAUGUUUGCACAUAUGUGUCUUUAUGUACGUGAGUACACUUGCCACAUGUAGAGGUCAGAGGACAACUUGUGGGAGUCGGUCCUCUCCUUCUAUCACGUGAGCUCCAGACCCCAGACCAGUUGUCAGGCUUGGCAGUCGUUUCCACGGCCCAGAAGAGAGGAUUUGCAUGUCUUCACAGAAAGAAAUGAUACACGCUCAAGAUGAUGGGCAUGCCCACUUUAUUUGAUGAUUACACAGUGUGUGCAUGGAAUAGCACACCAUAGCCCAUAGACAUGGAUGAGUAUCAUGUGCCAAUUAAAAGCAAAAGGGCACUGGGGAGCUGGCUCAGUGGGUAAGAGCACUGUGCAGGCAUGAGGGCCUGAGUUCAGACCCAUAGCACACACGUAAAAAGCUGGGCAUGGCUGCACAUACACAUGCAACCACAGUGCUGUGGAGGGUGGAGACAGCAGGGCUGCUGGGGCCUGCCGUCCCUCAGCAGAGCUCCAGGUUCAGUGAAAGACUCGGUCUCAAGAGAGUAAGACAGGAUAACAAAGCUUGCUCACCUGAUCACUCCCUUUAGCCUCUGAAUACACAUGAUUGCUUGCACCAGCACACACACGCACAGUGCACUCACACACGCAUGCGCACACACGCACACGCGCACACACAUGCACACACGCACACACACGUGCGUGCACACAUACAUGCACACGCGCACACACAUGCACACACGCAUGCGCACACACGCACACGCACACACACAUGCACACACGCACACACACGUGCGUGCACACAUACAUGCACACGCGCACACACUCCAUACACCCUUGUGUUGCUGUCAUUAUCACUUAAUUGCUAUCACUUCUACUUGUCACCAAUUCUUACUGGAAAAUUUUUGUUUUUUUCCUUUUAACUUGCUCGUGUUUUUCCCCUGUGGCAAACUCUGCACCUAGCAUCUUUAAAGGAGCUUUAAAGAAACCACAGUUCACUUCUGAAGCCUUGUCCCCACACCAUGAAAGCCCAAGAGAAGAUGAGAGGGAUCCUCUUUUGAGGCCAGGUUAUUCCACCUUUAAGAGGACUGCAUUGUGAGUGAUCAGCGGAGAGCAAAUGGCCCUAGAGGGGUGCCUGUUAUUAGUUUACAUGUUCUUCUGCAGGUACUUAGAGCUGGGGCUCGGAGAGCCAUGCGUCCACAGGCAGAGACGGAACAAACUGAAGAAGAGGUGAUGUCACAUGACAGUGCAGGCAGAAGCAUUUACAAACCAGUAAAGGACAAAGAGUGUGACAGAGCCCAGAAGCUGGGAGACAUGUCUGUGACAGAAUCUCCCCUCUUCCCAGAGGAACCAAGCCCAGAAGCUGGGAGACAUGUCUGUGACAGAAUCUCCUCUCUCCCCAGAGGAACCAAGCCUACCUUCACCUUGAUUUCAGCCUCUGACCUCCAGACGGCAAGAGAAUAAAUUUCAGUUACCAUCAUCUCUUCGCUUCUGGUAGUUUGUAACAGCAUCUGCAGAAAGCUAAGAGGCACCCCAUUGGGUGGUCUAGCUUUUCUUUAAAUUUACUUCUUUUUCUAACUGGGGGAGCCCUCAAUGUUUAAUCUUGCUGAUUGGAUUAAGGGACAGUGUAAAUCGUUAUUGGAUUAAGUGGCACUAUUUUGAAUGUGUCUGUUGAGGUCUUUUCUACAGAGGAUGAACCGAGAAGCCACGAUCUUCCCUGAAUGUGGGCAGCAGCGUCCCGUGGUCUCAGGUCCCGGACUGGAUGAAAAGCAAAAGGGAGAAAGCCUGUCACACACCUGUAUUUCCCUCUCUCUGCAUCCUCAUCAGUGAGAUGUGAGCAAGCAGCCUCUUGUCACCAUGGACAAGGCAAGGCGCAUCCCUGCCAGGAUGGACUGUGACCUCUGACCUGUGACCUAAAACAGAUUUUCACUCCCUUAAAUGUUGUCUCUUCAGGCACAGUUAUGAGAGGAGUCACUAAUAUACCUUUGUCCCCCUUUCUUCUGGCUUUCUCUUUCUCCGUUUUCUCCCCCAUCUUUCAUUUCAUCCUCUUCCCGUUUUCCCUCCUCCCCCCUUUCCCCUUCCUUCCUUCUUCACAUUUAUUCAUGCAGAGUGGAAUGAAGUCAAGACAGAAACAAUGUCUGACUUUGGACAGUGAGAAAUAGCCCAGCAGGAAGGGCUUGUAGUCAGAGGAGCGGAGCCAGGCCUGACUGGGCAUCCUUAUUUCUCCUUAGCAACGCAGCUAUGCCAAUAACUUGGUGACAGAGGGCCUGUAGUGGGGAGAGAAGACCCAGAUUUCAGCUCCAGAUCUCUCACUUACUCCCCAUUUGGAAGCUCCUCUUCUCUGAGAGGUGUUUUCUACCCUGGAAAAGAGACAGGAUGAAGAGAAAAGAAGCCUGAGUUCAUGUUCCCUGUUGGGAGCAAGUGAGGUGAUUCUUAUGCAGACAUUUUGUAAAUGGGAAAUACUGCAAGGAUGCUGAUGGCCGCUAUUAGGCUCCAUUAUGUGAAAUGGUUGGCAUUAGACCAUUCUCAACCAACAAAAACAGCAAUUUCAAUAUGCUCUAUAUCCUUUUAUCCACAGGGAAUGUUUCAAAACCCGCAGUCGGUGCUGGAAUUGGUGACCACAUCAAACUCUACAUAUAGUAUGACUUUUCUCUCUCUCUCUCUUUUUUUUUUUUACAAAGGCUCACACCAAGGAUAAUGUUCAAUUUAUGAAUUUGACACAGCAACAAAUAACAUUAGCUAAUAAGAAGAUAGAACAAUUAUAAGAUAUGCUAUAAUGAAAGUUAAUUAAAAUUUAUGAGUUGUGUAUUUCUAGAAUUUUCCAUUUAAUAUAUUUUAAACAUUUAUUUUAUUUUUUAUUUGUGUAUGUGUGUAUGCACACAUGAGUGCAGAUACCCUCGGAGGCCAGAAGAGGGCAUUGGACCCUUGCGGAUAGAGUUAUAAGGAGCUGUGUGUUGCCUGCUUGUCAUUUGUAGGAGCAUGGCUGUCAGAAAAGGCUUUGCUCUGCUUCAGAGGCCUUAGGAGACCACAGAAGAUCUCUCUGCAUCAUGGAAUUUUUUUCUGUCCUGGAAGCAGGACAAGUCGUUCCCGCUCUUCCUGCUUCCCAGAGGUCUUGGGCUCAGGCCACCUCCCCUCUAUAUCCAAGCAGUGGUCCUCAGUGUCUCCACACACAGUAUGUUCCUAUUCUAUUGUUCAUAGAAGACAGCACCAAUCAAUUUCAACACAAUGCUCCAGGGAACCACUACUAAUCAGCUACAGAGAAGCAGCCAGUUGAUAUCUGGACAAUGCUUUCCCCCUACUUCCAAGAAUUUUCAAGCAAAACAAAGGCUUAUACACACAGAAGUGUAGCUACCAUCCCUCAUCAAAGAAGCCCCUCUUCAUAGCAAAUGGAGCCUACCACAGAAAACCACAACUGGACACAAUGCGGAGACCAAUAGAUCAAUGGGGAACCCAGAGACAUUGACGUCACAGCUCCUGCAUCCAUGGCUCAGGGGACACUGAAGAAGAGAGAACAGAAAGGUUGUCAGAGUUGGAAUACGGGAAGUCUGUUGUGAAACAGUCUCUCCUACAAAUGGCUGCAUAAACCAGACUGGAACAAUGGCUACAUCAAUCAAAGUGUUAGUGUGGAACCAGGAAGAUUUCUCAGGGCCUCACCUCUAGACAAAGAAAUACAGGCAGCUAAUGACUUCAGGGAGAGGGAGGAUUAGCUUCUCCCAGGGAUGAACCCUCUUAUUGGUUGUCCAAUGCAGAGUGCUCAGCCCUGAAAACAUGUACACACCAAAAACAAAAACAGGGGUAGCCGGUUGUACUUAUAUAUAUUUGCACACACACACACACACACACACACACACACACACACACACACACACACCCAAUAAUAGUCAAAGGAAAAGAAUAGUCAACUUGAAAGUGGGGGAAAUGUGGGAGGGGUUUGAAGGAGGAGAUCUGGGAGGGGAAGGAGGGAGAGAAGGAAGGGAGAAAAGUGAUGUAAUUCUAUUUCAAUUUCAAUUAAAAAUAUAUCUAAAAAAUUCCAGUAAAAGUGGAGGCGGGGCUUCCAAGGCUGUAUACCUAGCUGAAGAACUGUUGGCAAUUGGUGGCUGGGGGGGAAGGGGAGUCUUUUUCUUUGGGGGUGUGGUCACUGAAUUUAUCCAUGUUCUCUGGUGGAUGGUACCACACCCAUGACAUGAGGCAGCACUAAUUGUCCUCAUUGGUUUAUACAGAAGUAGAAGAUGUGACCUAACAAGGGGGCCAGGUUAGGGGGUCGGGGGUUGUGGUGAAAAGGAGAGUGGGGGUGGGUAUGAUCAUGAUAUAGUGAAUACAUAUGUGUGAUGUCAAAGAAUAAAACUACUCUAAAAGGAAGAAAGUCCACUUUUCAUUCUCUUCAGUGAAAUCUUGUUUCUUCUUUUUUUUUCCUGCUUUUUAGACAGUGUCUUAUGUAGUCCAGGCUAGCUUCCAACUCAUGUUGCUCAGGAUGGACUUGAACUCAUGACUUUCCUGCUUUCUCUUGUUUACUGGGUGGGAACUGAAUUUUAACUCUUUCUAUGUUACUCAGAUGUUUUGUUAAUUAAUAAUAACUAUUUUUGUUAAUUAUUUAUUUUUCCAUUUAUUUCUCUAUCUCUACAUAAUCUAUUAUCUAUCUAUACAUCACCUAUCCAUUUAUCCAUCACCAAUCACCUAUCUAUCUGUCUGUCUAUCUAUCUAGUGACUGAUUUAUUUUGAUAAGGCUCUCAUGCAUUCCUGUCUGGUCUUGAAUUCUCUGUGUAGUCCAGGCUCAUAUUCAACUCUGUGUAGCCCAGUCUGGUCUUGAGUUCCUGAUCCUCCUGAUUCUGCCUAUCAAAUGUUGGAUGACAACAUGCUCCACCAAGCCUGCUUAUUUUUCCAUUUAAGUGUGUUUAUAUACCACAUCUUUCUUAGGUAAAUGUCAAAAUAAAGUACACACAUCUCUACCUUGUGUUUUUUCAUGUAGUGAUAUUUUUGAGUGUGGAGGCACUCCACCUUCCUGUGACAGCUGGGUAGUAAGUGAACACAUCAUGUUAAUCUGGCAGGUGCCAGCACAGGUCACACCCAGACCGUUGCUGCUGCAGAUGAAGCUGCAGAGACACCAGCCAUGCAGGCACACCAAUGCCUGUCUUUCUGUCAGCAUGCUUGGAACACAAUUUUAGGACUGGGGUUUAUGAGUCAGUGGCCACAUGCAUAGGUAGUUUUGCUAAAUUUCACUUCAUGAGUGUUUUGCUAUUUUGUGUUCACACCAAUAAUAACAACACAGACGUCCUCUUGCCAUAGAACAAUUUUGGGGUGUUGGGAGAAAGGAAUAGUGGUCUAUUAGGUAAUCUCGGGGUCCACCCAAUAACCAGCUGUGUCUGUGGUCUCCAAUAUAAGUUCUCUGUAAUAUCAAUAAGAUUGUGUUAUUUACAUGUCUAAAACCCUGCUGGCUUUCUUUUUUAUAUCAUGUAUUUUAAAAAGAUUCAUUUAUUUAUUUAUUUAGAGACAAAGCCUCACUAUAUAUCUUUGGCCAGCCUGGAACUUGCUGAGUAGGCCAGGCUGGCCUUGAAUUCACAGAAAUCCACCUGUCUCUGCUUUCCUAGU